RNAcentral lists this small RNA (319 nucleotides) under Pan troglodytes (chimpanzee). RNAcentral's name for it is "processed transcript". Lineage: Eukaryota; Metazoa; Chordata; Mammalia; Primates; Hominidae. The record is from RNAcentral.
CAACUGACUAGAAUUAGCCUACAAGAAGAAGUUUUCUUUCACCUUAGUGAGAUAAUUUAUUAUGGCAUAAGUAACAGAAAUGUAGCAUUUGGGGAUGAAAAGCACAGCUACCAGCCAAAGACUCCCUGGGGGAUGGCGGGGGGAAUAUGGGCCUGUGCAUCAGAAAGCCCCAGGCACACUUUCAUCAACUUCGAUAAAUGCAGAGGGAACACCAGAGGACGUUUUUCUUCAACUCUGCACAGCUAUUGACUCUAUUUUCUGAAGGCAAAAAUGCAUGUUAGAAUGGAAACAGAAAAACAUUAAAAAGUUCAUUCCUUAA